RNAcentral lists this unclassified non-coding RNA (249 nucleotides) under Hevea brasiliensis (rubber tree). Lineage: Eukaryota; Viridiplantae; Streptophyta; Magnoliopsida; Malpighiales; Euphorbiaceae. The record is from RNAcentral.
UUAAAUAUGAUUUGGAUGUUAAGAUAUAUCUUGUUUUUGUUGUCUCAUUAUGAAUCCUGUCAGAACUGGUCUUCUCAGCAAUGAAGGGAGGAUUGAAAAAUAGAAGUUCAACUAGAUGUUCAUUUGGUAGGUGUGGUUAAUAAAAUUGGAUCUUAAUUAGUUUAAAUUAUGCAUUUCCUCUACUUCUUUGUAUAAUUCUUUUACCAAUUAAUUGUUUGUGCUUCUUAAAUUUAUGGGUCUUGAGCACCG